RNAcentral lists this transfer RNA (72 nucleotides) under Kalmanozyma brasiliensis GHG001. RNAcentral describes it as "tRNA-Thr (CGT) (tRNA-Thr-CGT-1-1)". It matches the Rfam family "tRNA". Rfam says of the family: Transfer RNA (tRNA) molecules are approximately 80 nucleotides in length. The record is from RNAcentral. Lineage: Eukaryota; Fungi; Basidiomycota; Ustilaginomycetes; Ustilaginales. RNAcentral also lists the same sequence under 1 other name.
GCCUCUUUAGCUCAGUGGGAGAGCGCGCCACUCGUAAUGGUGAGGUCACUAGUUCAAUCCUGGUAGGAGGCA